RNAcentral lists this ribosomal RNA (252 nucleotides) under uncultured Bacteroidales bacterium. RNAcentral's name for it is "partial 16S ribosomal RNA". It matches the Rfam family "Bacterial small subunit ribosomal RNA", at positions 524 to 776 of the family's 1533-position model. The record is from RNAcentral. Lineage: Bacteria; Pseudomonadati; Bacteroidota; Bacteroidia; Bacteroidales.
UACGUAGGUGGCGAGCGUUAUCCGGAUUUAUUGGGCGUAAAGCGUGCGCAGGCGGUUUAUUAAGUCAGCGGUAAAAUGUCCGGGCUCAACCCGGGCCGGCCGUUGAAACUGGGGAUCUUGAGUGGGCGAGAGGUAUGCGGAAUGCGUGGUGUAGCGGUGAAAUGCAUAGAUAUCACGCAGAACCCCGAUUGCGAAGGCAGCAUACCGGCGCCCAACUGACGCUGAGGCACGAAAGCGUGGGUAUCGAACAGG